This 88-nucleotide transfer RNA is filed under the name Polynucleobacter arcticus. Its description in RNAcentral is "tRNA-Ser(tga)". It matches the Rfam family "tRNA". From Rfam's summary of the family: Transfer RNA (tRNA) molecules are approximately 80 nucleotides in length. Their secondary structure includes four short double-helical elements and three loops (D, anti-codon, and T loops). Further hydrogen bonds mediate the characteristic L-shaped molecular structure. tRNAs have two regions of fundamental functional importance: the anti-codon, which is responsible for specific mRNA codon recognition, and the 3' end, to which the tRNAs corresponding amino acid is attached (by aminoacyl-tRNA synthetases). tRNAs cope with the degeneracy of the genetic code in two manners: having more than one tRNA (with a specific anti-codon) for a particular amino acid; and 'wobble' base-pairing, i.e. permitting non-standard base-pairing at the 3rd anti-codon position. Lineage: Bacteria; Pseudomonadati; Pseudomonadota; Betaproteobacteria; Burkholderiales; Burkholderiaceae. The record is from RNAcentral.
GGAAGAGUGGCAGAGUGGUCGAUUGCAAUAGUCUUGAAAACUAUCGUUCCGAGAGGAACCGUGAGUUCGAAUCUCACCUCUUCCGCCA